RNAcentral lists this long non-coding RNA (211 nucleotides) under Lathyrus oleraceus (garden pea). RNAcentral describes it as "Pisum sativum (pea) long non-coding RNA (PSAT_LNC038609)". The record is from RNAcentral. Lineage: Eukaryota; Viridiplantae; Streptophyta; Magnoliopsida; Fabales; Fabaceae.
GAAUAUAUGAUCAGGUGGCUGAGAGGGCAAGUAUUUCCCUUGUACUUUUCAAAGUCGGGGACCUUGAACUUCUCAGGGAUCUUCACAUUAGGGACCAAGCAGAGUUCGACAGCAGACUUGCCAAAAAGGUCCUUUCCUCGAAGAGUCUUCAAUUCCUUGCGGAGUUCAAGAAAUUGAUCAUCAAUAGUGUCCAUCUUUUCAUAGACAUCUG